ACGUAGGUCACAAGCGUUGUCCGGAAUUACUGGGUGUAAAGGGAGCGCAGGCGGGGAGAUAAGUUGGAAGUGAAAUCUAUGGGCUCAACCCAUAAACUGCUUUCAAAACUGUUUUUCUUGAGUAGUGCAGAGGUAGGCGGAAUUCCCGGUGUAGCGGUGGAAUGCGUAGAUAUCGGGAGGAACACCAGUGGCGAAGGCGGCCUACUGGGCACCAACUGACGCUGAGGCUCGAAAGUGUGGGUAGCAAACAG
RNAcentral lists this ribosomal RNA (251 nucleotides) under uncultured bacterium. RNAcentral describes it as "partial 16S ribosomal RNA". It matches the Rfam family "Bacterial small subunit ribosomal RNA", at positions 525 to 775 of the family's 1533-position model. The record is from RNAcentral.